UGUUGUGUGGCUGGUUCGUAGUGAGGACCCAGAUGCAGACACUGAGACUGAGAUCAACUUAAAGUGAAUUUUAAUGUCUAACAAAAGGUUGUAAAGGCAAACGAGGAAGUCCGGAGGGCUGGUUGGCUGGCUGUCGUGUGGGCUGGAGACACUGCAGGAGAAAACCAGAGGAGACCGGAGUUAAAGAACAUGAAAAGAGUCACUAGGAGCAAAGUGGGAGUUAAAGAACAUGAAAAGAGUCACGAGGAGCAAAAUUCUGAUAGGGAUACAAACAAGGUUGGCCAGGAGACGUGUCUUUACCGCUAGGAAGGGUAGACAAUACUCAGGCCCUGAGGCUGAGGGCUGCAGGCUUCUUAAAGUGCCUUGAUUGGAGAUGUGGAGCAGGUGUAGGCCUGUCACGAUAACAAAUUUUGCUGGACGAUAAUUGUGCUACAAAUUAUCGCCGAUAAACGAUAUUAUUGACACCGUUUUUUAAAUUAUAGAUAAUGAUAUUAUAUGGCAUAAUAAUGCGAGUACACCAUGUCAAAAGUGAUAAACUUUAAUUUCCACACGAGAACAACACUGGUUGUUUUCGUUGACUAAAAUAUUUCCCUUUUCUCCCACGACGAAGACGUAACGUUGACGAGCUAAACAGAAGUCGGAGAUGACUAAAAUGUGACGAGACGAAAGUGCGUUUACGUUGAUGGGACGAGACGAAAAUGACGAACAGAGUUGCAAAACUCAGUCAGUUAAACGCUAAACAUAUAGGAGCAGCUUCAGUCCGCGCUGACAGCUCUCAUCAGCCUGCUGUGCUCCUCCAACACACAGACACACACACACACACGCGCGCACACACACACGAGUUUUAUGGUUGACGAAAACAAAACUAGUUUAAAGCCGAAAUAUUCCCACACUUGGGCUGUUGCGUUCGGUUUAGACACCAAAGCUGUCGUGUUCAUUCUGUUAGCUUGCUUUUCACUCACGACGCUCACUUGCAGCACUGUAUCCAAAAAGUCUGUGUCUGUGUGCGCCAGCCCCCUCGUGACAAAGACACUGAAUGACUGACAGGAGGGUUCACUAACUCCGUUCAUUCCGCUAUAGAGCCAACACCCCCAGGUGCCGAGAAAAAUGCGUAGAGUGAGACCUCUUCUCUCAUCCAGCGUGUUUGGUAGCGAGAGAGGAGGAAAACAAAGGCACGUCAGUUAUCGAGGCUGGCAAAAUGACCGACCUCGUUUUUAUUUAUCGAGCGAUAAGGCGAUUUAUUGAUUAUCGCGACAGGCCUAAGCAGGUGUGUAGUCUCACUCAGCCUCAGUGCCGGGGGAGGGGAGGAAGCUCUGGAAAAGAGUGAAGCCAGACCAGGCAAACAAGGAAACACAGGAAGUCCAGCCAAAAUAAAACAUGAGGAGGCGUCUCACCACAGUUUGUUUUUUUUUUGAGCUUAUGAAGAUGGCGUGCUGUCAGUACUAUCCACAAUGUUAUUGACUCCCAUGUAUCUUUUCUAUCAGACAGUAAGUUUGUAAUACUAACCAGGGGAUGGACGGCAAUCAUAAUCAUGAUCUUUGCCCACUGCAGUGUAUUGCCUAGUCUGUACUAUCCCCUAUUCCUUGUCCUCUGUUCUCUGUUCGCUGGACUGUCCCCUGUCCUCUGAACUUUCCUUUGGACUGCCCCUCCCAGUCGUCACCUGGGCUGUAUUCAAUCGCACACAGAUGCUUUCGUACUCGCUGGUUAACUAGCACCCGAGGUGUGAACCUUAAAAAAUUAAAGACAAAAGUUGACAUAUUACAUCAAAAAUGCUUUUACAUGCCUCCAGGAAUAUGUUUCAUAGGUUUCAUAGCAAUAUAAUAGAGCUUGAAUGUCUCAAGAAUAGUUACUAUAGGUUAGUUCAUAGGCUCGGUGCCAUGAUCUGUUAACUGCUUAACCAGUUUUGAACCUGUGAGUCAUCUCUCCUUAGUCUAUCAAUUGUUAAAAUUUGUAUCUUGAUCUGAAAAUGCAUUUUCUGUUUAGUAUAAAGCUGGAGAGACAGGUAGAGCACUGUACUAGCUAGGUUUAACAUUGUAAUGUGAUAAUUACCCCAGUCAUUCCAGUGGAAUCUUGAAGGCGGCAGUAGCUCAGGAGGUAGAGCGGUCGUCCAAUAACCGGAAGGUUGGCCGUUCGAUUCCCCCCUAAUCCAAGUCUGUCCGUUGUGUCCUUGGGCAAGACACUUAACCCACCUUCCUCCCAGUGUGUGUCCUCCACUGGUGUAUGAUUGUGAGUGUUGUGUGGUGGUGGUCGGAGAGGCCGUAGGCGCAGAAUGGCAGCCACGUUUCCACCACCACCAAAGUGUGACUGUGUGAGCGAAUGAAUGAUGUAUCCAAUGUAAAGCGCUUUGAGGGUCUCUGAUAAAGCGCUAUAUGAAAUCUGAUGCAUUAUUUUUAUUAUUAUUAUUAAGGCACAGCUCCGUGUUUAAUGCUUCCACUGGCUUGUGUGGACUUGUGCAAAUCCUCGGGUUUGAAAUGUUCACUGCAAACAUAGGUGCUUCCAUGAGUUAUUGUAAAACUUGGUCCCUCAUCUCUCCUGAUUGCCCUCACCCAGUUGCCACAAGCAGUUUUAUCAACUGGGAAGUCAUGGAAACCUAAGUGAGGGGAUUUCUUUUUGCCGUUGGUGCAACACGGGACGCUACACCAAGCUUGUGACAUAUUGUUGUGAGAAAGAGUCUCGUCCGGGGAGUAAUUUAGUCUAGAAACGCCACUGACCACACGUCCAAAACAACACUCAUUAUAAAACCCAGUGGCCCUUGUAGUUUCAAUUUUAGCUUUCCUUAGAUUACAUAAGAAUAGAUUCAGUUCUUUGGCCAAGAGUAAGAGGUAUGGUGAGUGAUUAUACAUUGAUAUAAAAAGGAAAUGCUAAAUGAAAUUAUGCUAGAUAAACACGGGGUGGUCGCUAGCAUCAUUAACAUGAGUUAGCUUCCAUUCCCGGCAUAUUUAGACGAUUUCAUAGUAGGAAAAUUUAAAAUGCAGACAAAGUUAGCAAGAGAACAUAUUGCCAAGUCGUAAAUAAAAUCAGUCUUUACUAUACCUUUCAGAAUUUCACAUUAUGGAUCUUGAGUUUGGGGAGGUCCAUGUAAACCUAAUGGGAUUUCUCCUGGGAUCCCCUGUUAGUAGUAAAACCGGAAG
RNAcentral lists this long non-coding RNA (3131 nucleotides) under Xyrichtys novacula (pearly razorfish). The record is from RNAcentral. Lineage: Eukaryota; Metazoa; Chordata; Actinopteri; Labriformes; Labridae.